RNAcentral lists this ribosomal RNA (206 nucleotides) under uncultured bacterium. Its description in RNAcentral is "partial 16S ribosomal RNA". It matches the Rfam family "Bacterial small subunit ribosomal RNA", at positions 1295 to 1500 of the family's 1533-position model. The record is from RNAcentral.
GGAUUGUAGGCUGAAACUCGCCUACAUGAAGCUGGAGUUACUAGUAAUCGCAGAUCAGAAUGCUGCGGUGAAUGCGUUCCCGGGUCUUGUACACACCGCCCGUCACACCACGGAAGUUGGGGCGCCCGAAGCCACUUAGCUAACCCUUUGGGAAGCGAGUGUCGAAGGUGAAAUCAAUAACUGGGGUGAAGUCGUAACAAGGUAAC